GACGAACGCUGGCGGCGUGCUUAACACAUGCAAGUCGAACGGAAAGGCCCUGCUUUUGUGGGGUGCUCGAGUGGCGAACGGGUGAGUAACACGUGAGUAACCUGCCCUUGACUUUGGGAUAACUUCAGGAAACUGGGGCUAAUACCGGAUAGGAGCUCCUGCUGCAUGGUGGGGGUUGGUUAGUUUCGGCGGUUGGGGAUGGAAUCGCGGCGUAUCAGCUUGUUGAUGGGGUAGUGUCUUACCAAGGCUUUGACGGGUAGCCGGCCUGGACGGAGGACCGGCCAAAUUGGAACGGAAAUGCGACCCAGACCCCUACGGGAGGCAGCAGAGGAGAAUAGAGAACAGUGGACGGAAGCCAGAUGCAGUAAAGCAACGUGCGGGAUGACGGGCUUCGGGUUGUAUUCCACUGACGCCUGUGACGAAGCGUGAGUGACGGUAAUGGGUAAAGAAGCACCGGCUAACUACGUG
RNAcentral lists this ribosomal RNA (468 nucleotides) under uncultured bacterium. RNAcentral's name for it is "partial 16S ribosomal RNA". It matches the Rfam family "Bacterial small subunit ribosomal RNA", at positions 28 to 507 of the family's 1533-position model. The record is from RNAcentral.